AAUUAGGGGACACAAGUGAGGGUCGUGACUAGGGACAGGGGUCACGGCUGGGAGAGACACAGCUGGGGACAGAGGACACAGCUGGGGAACAUGACUGUGGAUGGGACACAGCUGGGGACGGGGCUGGGCGGGCACUGCGGGAGCUAUGGAUGGAGUGACAUCGGGCAUGGAUGGCACUGGGGGGCACGCGGCUGUCACAGCUGUGCGGGGUAGAAAAAGGGACGCUACCUCUUUAAGAAAGACACAAGAGGGGCGUGGUCUCCGUUGGGCGUGGCCAUCGUUGGCCCCGCCCCAUCGCGCGCCGGCGGGCGUGGUACCGGGCGGUUGCUGCGGAUGACGUCAUGCGGCUGCGCCCGCGGCGGCGCAUGCGCGGCGGGGCCCAGGGCCUGGUCGGGCGGCGCGGAGCCUGCGGACGGGGGGCGCCGGCGCCGCCAUGUUCCGGUACCCGUCCCUGGAGGACUGCCCGCUGGACGAGGAUGAAGAUGCCUUCCAGGCCCUGGGGGAGGAGGAUGAAGACAUCGACCAGUUCAACGAUGACACCUUCGGGGCCGGGGCCGUCGAUGAUGACUGGCAGGAGGCCCACGAGCGGCUGGCGGAGCUGGAGGACAAGGCCGGGUCGAGCCGGGAGCCGGACGGUCCCGUUGGGAAUGACGGGGAUGUUUUGGGUGAUCCCGAGGACGCGCUGGCCGAGCGGCUCACGCGACUUGUCAUCGACAGCGAGCUGGAGGACCCGGCCAUCAUGCAGGCCGUGCACACCAGGGACCCCCCACAGCAGCCUGGAGGGCUGAAUUCCAGCAUCUGGGACAGUUCAGCUGUGCUGCGGCGCAUCCGGGGGCCGCUCCUCGCUCAGGGAAUGGGGGUGUCCCUCCCAUUCCUCCCACAGGAGAUGCCGCCCGUGUCCGUGCUGGAUUAUGCCCUUCCCCAGAGGCCUCCGCAGGCUCGGGAUGAGGAGCGGGAUCCAUCGGAGCGGGCACUGCCCCGGCGCUCCUCGUCCCCCAUCAUCGGCAGCCCCCCGGUCCGGGCCGUUCCCAUCGGCACCCCCCCGAAACAGGCCGCCAUCCCAAACUUCAACCAGCAGAUCCUGUGUCCCAAGCCUGUCCACAUCCGAGCUACCAUGCAGCAGCGUUAUCCCACUCCCUAUGGAGAGAGGAUGUCCCCCAACCAGCUCUGCAAUGUUCCGAAUUCCUCCCUCCUGGGCCACCCGUUCCCCCACAGUGUCCCUCCCGUUCUCACGCACCUGCAGAGAGCCCAGCUGCUUGGAGGAGCCCAGGCCGGCCGAAUGUCCCCCAGCCAGUUUGCCCGGGUGUCCGGGUUGGUGGGGAGCCCGCUGCCCUCCGUCAAUCCCAAGCUGCUCCAGGGCAGAGUUGGGCAGAUGAUGUCCCCAGCCGGUGGGUUCCGUGCCUUUUUCGGGGCUCCCCCUGCCCCGCCCCCCUCGCAGCUGCCACACCCUCCGGGCCCCGGAUCCCACCUGCAGAACCUGAGGCCGCAGACCCAGAUGUUCCGUCCGGACACGACCCAUUUGCACCCCCAGCACCGCCGGCUCCUGCACCAGCGGCAGCAGCAGAACCGGAACCAGCACCGGAGCCUCAACGGCUCCGGGGGGGACCGAGGGGGCCACCGGAGCAGCCAUCAGGAGCAGAUCCGUAAGGAUCCCUAUGCCAACCUCAUGCUGCAGCGGGAAAAGGACUGGGUGUCCAAGAUCCAGAUGAUGCAGCUGCAGAGCACUGAUCCCUACCUGGAUGAUUAUUAUUAUCAGGAAUGGGGGAUUGUCAGACAAUGCUGGGAAAAGCCAGACUUGGAGCAGAAUUACUUCCAGAAGCUGGAGAAGUUGGCAGCAGCUGAGGAAGUGCACGGUGAUGGUCCCAAGAAGGAGCGCACUAAACUCAUCACCCCACAGGUGGCCAAGCUGGAGCACACCUACAAGCCAGUGCAGUUUGAGGGCUCGCUAGGAAAGCUCACCGUCUCCAGUGUCAACAACCCCCGGAAGAUGAUCGACGCCGUGGUGACGUCCCGCAGCGAGGAUGAUGAGACAAAGGAGAAGCAGGUCCGGGAUAAGAGGCGACAGACCCUCGUCACCAUCGAGAAGACGUACAGCCUCCUCCUGGACGUGGAGGACUACGAGCGCCGCUACCUCCUGAGCCUGGAAGGGGAGCGGCCAGCCCUGAUGGGAGAAAGGAAGCAGAAGAUCUGUGACAUGUACGACAAUCUGAGGGGGAAGGCACCUGGGCAGGACAGGCCGAGCGAUGACCACUUCAUGCAGAUCAUGUGCAUCCGGAAAGGAAAGCGCCUGGUGGCCCGGAUCCUCCCCUUCCUGGCUCCAGAGCAAGCGGCCGACGUGCUCAUGGCCACGGCCAGGAACCUGCCCUUCCUCAUCAAGAAGGAUGCUCAGGAUGAGGUGCUUCCCUGCCUCUUGAGGCCCUUUUCCCACGUCCUCUACCACCUUCCCUUGGGAACAGUCACCAGCCUUGUGCAGCAGCUCACAAACCUACCUCAGAGCGCCGCCGCUCCCACCAACCUGCACCUCACUGCUGUGCUCCAAAACAAGUUUGGUCUGUCCCUGCUGUACCUGGUUCUGAGCCGAGGGGAGGAAUUGCAGAGCUCAGACACAAACACGGAGCUGAUGCAGGACAACCAAUGGACAGAGCUGAUGCUGAUGGCGACCCGGGAGCUCCUGCGGAUCCCUCAGGGAGCUUUGGCAAAGCCCGUGUCCAUCCCCUCCAACUUGAUCUCCCUCUUCUCUCGCUAUGUUGACCAGCAGAAGCUGAACCUGCUGGAGACAAAAUUGCAGUGAGUGCCAGCCCUCUUCCCAUGGGAAUGUGGCCCUGUUCCAACGGGGGACCUGGAGAAGGGGGAAACUGGAGCUUAGUGCAGGGGAUCCGGUAGAUCUCCGUGGCUCCUCGCCACCACCGGAAUGUUCCAGAGGAAGGAUGGAUGGAAGGAAGGAAGGAAGGAAGGAAGGAAGGAAGGAAGGAAGGAAGGAAGGAUGGAUGAAUGGAGGGCACACGGUUCACCCCACACUUCCCCCGACACCUGGCCUGGCACAUGGGGCACAUCUGCCCUCCAGUCCCUGGAUCAGCAGGAAGAGGGGGUUGUUUGGCUGCUCCCCCCUCUCAAACAAAGUGCUGCCUUUCCCUGCUGCUCCCAAUUUCCCCCCAACUCCCUCUGCACCCCCAAAAACUGCUGCUUCCCCCCCAAACACACACACACACACCACACACACACACUACUGAGGAUCCUGGGAAGUGAGGAGCCCCUUGCUCCACAUCCUUGGCCAGGGGUUCCCCGCUCCUUCCCUGCUCCUUCUCCAGCCCUUCCCACAAGCACUGAGCUCUGCUUCCUGCCCUUCCCCACACUUCACACACCUGUUUCGCACACUUGCCUCGUCUUCCCAAAAUUCGGCUCCUUCCCUCCCCCUGGGAUCAGCCCCAGCAUCUCCGGGGUGGGGAGGCACAGCCGGGUCUCUGUCCCCUCUGGAUCGGAUCCGGGUGGAUUCAGCUGUGCUGCUCCUUGGGAAGGUGGUGGUGGUGGUUGGGGGAUAAUUUUACCUUUUUUUUUAAUUUUUUUUUUUAUUUUAUUUUUUUUCUUUUAAAAUAAAAAAAAAAACAUGAGAUUUGCACAUAUAGGGAUUUUUCACCCCGGAAUUCUUCCUGGCAUUAACCAGCCCCCCUUCCGCUGCUCUCGGCUCCUUCCCUGUCUUUUUCCUCUGACAGAUCAAGUGGAAAGUUCAUUUAUUACUUUAUUUUAUUUCUUUUUUCCUGCUUUUUUGUUUUGGUUUUUUUUUCCUUCCCCCCCUCCUAUUUCUGCUUUUUUUCUUAAUUUCAUUUGCUUGCGGUAAUUUUUUUUUGUUUGUUUUUUUUCUUCCUCAUCCCUUCCAGUCUUUGGUUCUGGUUAAUGAGAAUAAAGUUUCUAAAUUUACAUUUUUAUAGGGUAUUGUAAAUAAAGAUGAAUUGUAUACGGCUGCCA
RNA transcript from Parus major (Great Tit), 3963 nucleotides. It is a transcript of the gene named PAT1 homolog 1, processing body mRNA decay factor, with no coding region annotated. Lineage: Eukaryota; Metazoa; Chordata; Aves; Passeriformes; Paridae. The record is from RefSeq and is a predicted model, not a curated record. The transcript has 20 exons.